AUCUUGAAAACGGAAAAUAAAAACAGCAGACCUAUGAAGGUCGAAGGGGAAGAAAAGCUGUAUCGAUUGUUGAGAUCUGGCGACUUGUUUAAAUUUCAUCAGCCUCACUUCUAUGAACUCUCAGAGCUGAUUACCAACUCCUACCACUGUUAACCCUCAUCCAGGAACAAGCUUAUGUCUUUAACAUUCUGAGUGGGCUUCAGCAUCCUUGCAUAUGUUCAAUUCUUAAAAACCUGUUGAAAUAAAAGAUCAGGAGACAUAGGAAGGAUGCCAGAAGAGAGCGUGGCCUCACGUGUACCAGCUCUCUGCUCUCCUUUGCCUUGGGACGUUCCAUCCCUGGAAGUUUCCCUGCCCACAUCUUUGUAGAGAGUCCAUUCUCCAAGCUUCAGUGUGUCAUCUGUGAGGACCGUGACCCACCUGGUACAUCGCCUCAGGGCAUUCAUUUCAGGCUCCUUCUAAAUGGCCAAGUUUUCAAGAUUGUUUUGGCUCUAGCAAAACAAGUUGGAACAUUCACAUCAUCCAAGCUGCAGCAAGCUGUUCGUCAGAGUCAUCUUUGGUGACUAUCUGCCUACAGGCAUUCCUUUGCACUCUGGGUGUAGCCCUCAGUGCUGGGCUUACAAAGAAGACGACACAAAAGCAACCAUGAAAAGAUCUUGGAAGCAGAGGGAUCUGCAGAAGUGCUUGCAACACUUUCAGCCUUAACCAGCAUCAGAGACAAAAAUCCUUUCUGGAAUGAGGCACCCUUGGAAAUGCAAUGCUACAUCUCAAUGGGAUUUUCCAGUACAAAGAUUCUUUUCAAAUAACAUAAUUGUGGAUACACACCACUCCUACAGUGGUAAACCUCAGGUUCUCCUCCUGCCUUUUGCUAAGUAUAUGUCUUGAUGACAAGCCUUCUGCUGAUGAGCUGUGUUUCUGGACCGAUCAUGGUAGAAGUCAAUUAACGUGUCCCUCACUUGGGGUUUCUCAAGGCUGCACUGAUGAGGAAACUGAAACAGAAAAUCCAGAGUAAAUUCCACCAGGCCACACAGCAAGGUCUGAUAGAGCCAGGAGAGACUUUAUGAAAUCCAGACUCUCACACUAAUGCUCUAUCAGCUAGACCUCCAUGUGAGUCUCCCCAAUGUAGGUAGGAAGUGCUUUCCCUAAAAUGCUCAUAAAGCAAAUCAGAGCAAUGCUGCAUUCCAUGUGAUUUCUAAUUUGAAAUGCAAACAAUUGCCAAUUUGUUUGACUUGUAUUUAUAAUUAUUUCCUUGUGAAUUACUCAUCACUAAAUGCUUUAUAAAUAUUUUCUCUUUUUUUCCUCAAUGUCUAUGGAAUGAUCACAGCAUAGAAAAUGUUGGCUUUCAAGGAUUUAUUAAUAUCUCCUUUUGAAAUAACAUGUAUUUGUAAGACAGAAUAAAAUCACUUUAAAGAAACAAA
Molecule: long non-coding RNA, 1415 nt
Filed under: Homo sapiens (human)
Lineage: Eukaryota; Metazoa; Chordata; Mammalia; Primates; Hominidae
Description: testis expressed 41
Source: RNAcentral